This 1888-nucleotide ribosomal RNA is filed under the name gut metagenome. RNAcentral's name for it is "bacterial LSU rRNA". It matches the Rfam family "Bacterial large subunit ribosomal RNA", at positions 3 to 1981 of the family's 2925-position model. The record is from RNAcentral.
UCAAGCUAAGAAGAGCAUAAGGUGAAUGCCUUGGCAUCAGGAGCCGACGAAGGACGCGACUAACUGCGAAAAGCUGCGGGGAGCUGUACAUAAGCAUUGAUCCGCGGGUAUCCGAAUUGGGAAACCACCGUGAUGAAGAAUCACGGAUCAUACGGUGAAUAAAAUAGCCGUAUGAGGGGAACGCCCUGAAGUGAAACAUCUAAGUAGGGGCAGGAAGAGUAAUCAACCGAGAUUGCGUAAGUAGCGGCGAGCGAAAGCGCAGGAAGGCCAAACCGGGAGCGGAAACGCACCCGGGGUAAGGACCGCAUAAAGAGACGAUAGCAGAGCCGAACGGCAUGGGAAGGCCGAUCAGAGAAGGUGAGAAUCCUGUAGGCGAAAGCGACAAUAUCGGGCGGAAUCCGGAGUACGUGCGGACACGAGGAAUCCACACGGAAGACGGGGGGACCACCCUCCAAGCCAAAAUACUACCUGAUGACCGAUAGAGGACCAGUACUGUGAAGGAACGGUGAAAAGAACCCCGGGAGGGGAGUGAAAGAGAACCUGAAACCUUAUGUUUACAAGCACGCAAAGCACGUCAAAGUGCGAUGCGGUACUUUUUGUAGAACGGUCCGGCGAGUUGAUUAGACUGGCGAGGUUAAGCGGUUAAGCCGCGGAGCCGCAGCGAAAGCGAGGGUAAAGAGCCCGGCAAGUCAGUUGUAUCAGACCCGAAACCGGGUGACCUAUCCAUGUGCAGGAUGAAGUUCGGGUAAAACCGAAUGGAGGUCCGAACCGACCCCCGUUGAAAAGUUGGCGGAUGACAUGUGGAUAGCGGAGAAAUUCCAAUCGAACUCGGAGAUAGCUGGUUCUCCCCGAAAUAGCUUUAGGGCUAGCCUCGCGAAUGAUUUACGGAGGUAAAGCACUGACCGAACGAGGGACCGAGAGGUUACCAACUUCCAUCAAACUAAGAAUGCCGUAAAAUUGAAUCGCGGGAGUCAGACGGUGUGAGAUAAGUCUCAUCGUCAAAAGGGAAAAAGCCCAGAUCUACAGCUAAGGUCCCAAAUAUAUGCUAAGUGGAGAAGGAUGUAGCGUUGCGAAUACAACCAGGAUGUUGGCUCAGAAGCAGCCACACAUUAAAAGAGUGCGUAACAGCUCACUGGUCGAGUGGCGCCGCGCCGAAAAUUCAACGGGGCUAAGCAUAUAACCGAAGCUUAGGAAUAGAAAUAUUGGUAGGGGAGCGUCGAAUACGGGGUGAAGCAUCAGCGGAAGCGGGUGUGGACUGUAUUGGAGUGAGAAUGCCGGAAUGAGUAGCGAGAAUUGCGCGAGAAUCGCGAUGGCCGAAAGUCCAAGGUUUCCAGGGGAAGGCUCGUCCUCCCUGGGUAAGCCGGGAGCUAAGGCGAGGCCGAAAGGCGUAGUCGAUGCACACACGGUGGAAAUUCCGUGGCCGCGGAGCAUAAGGUAUCUGACACAUAGAAGUGGUAACUGCCCGGCGAUGGUCGCCCGGGUCGAAAGGGACUGAAGAUUAGUAGGGAAGAGAUACCACGGAGAUGGCGAGAAAAGGAUACAUGGAGUGUGCUUACGCGCCCGUACCGCAAACCGACACAGGUGGAUGGGGUGAGGAACCUAAGGCCGGCGGGAGAAGGGUUGUUAAGGAACUCGGCAAAUUGGCCACGUAACUUCGGGAUAAGUGGCGCCACUGAGAAGUGGCCGCAGUGAAAAGGCCCAAGCGACUGUUUAUCAAAAACACAGGUCUCUGCAAAACCGAAAGGUGAGGUAUAGGGGCUGACGCCUGCCCGGUGCCGGAAGGUCAAGGGGAACACUCAGCGCAAGCGAAGGUGUGAACUUAAGCCCCGGUAAACGGCGGCCGUAACUAUAACGGUCCUAAGGUAGCGAAAUUCCUUGUCAGGUAAGU